UUGUAUUCAUUCAACUUGUUUUUAUUAUUGCUUGUUAGCCGCCCUGAGCCCGGCCUUGGCUGGGGAGGGCGGGGUAUAAAUAAAAAUUAUUAUUAUUACUGUAUAUUAAUAAUAAUAAUAAUAAUAAAUUUUAUUUAUAUCCCGCCCUCCCCAGCCGAAGCCGGGCUCAGGGCGGCUAACAACAAUAAAACAGUACAAAAGUACA
Molecule: non-coding RNA, 205 nt
Organism: Podarcis lilfordi (Lilford's wall lizard)
Lineage: Eukaryota; Metazoa; Chordata; Lepidosauria; Squamata; Lacertidae
Source: the annotation of a GenBank genome assembly